This is a long non-coding RNA of Oryctolagus cuniculus (rabbit), 2191 nucleotides long. NCBI's taxonomy places the organism in Eukaryota, Metazoa, Chordata, Mammalia, Lagomorpha, Leporidae. The record is from Ensembl.
UGGUGGGUUUUUUCUUUAAGAUUUAUCUUAUUGUUUGACAGGCAAAGCUACAGAGAGAGGUAGAGACAGAGAGAGAGGUCUUCCAUCCCACUGGUUCACUCCCCAGAUGGCUGCAAUGGCCGGAGCUGCAAAGAUUCGAAGCCAGGAGCCAGGAGCUUCUUCUGGUCUCCCACGCAGGUGCAGGGGCUUAUAGCACUGCGCUAUCUUCCACUGCUUUCCCAGGCCACAGCAGAGAGCUGGAUCAGAAGAGGAACAGUCAGAACACGAACCAGCGUCCAUAUGGGAUGCUGGCACUGCAGGCGGAGGAUUAACCUACUGGGCCACAAUACCGGUCCCCAGCAAACAUCAUUUUUAAAAAGUAUGUUGAAAAGCGAGAAAUGCAAGGAAGAGAAGCCAUCAUCUGUUGCCUCCCAGGGUCUGUAUUAGCGGGAAGCUGGAAUCAGGAGUCAGGCUGGAGCUAUGAAAUAAACCCAGGCACUCUGAUCUGCCCCCAGGAACUGGCAGUGUGUUCUGUUAGCUGUCCUGCCCCUGGAAGCCCUGCCUUGCUGUGUCCAGCUGUGAAAUAACUCUGGUCACCUGACCAGGAUGCCACAGGCAGGCAGGAGGGGAGAAAAGAAACAUGUACUGGUCACCUUCAACCCAACAUACAGCACAGGUGCUAUGGAUACCGGCUGCUCCCAUGGCAAGGGUCUGCACCUGCUCCACUUCUCCCCUCCGCCACAGCCUUCAUCCUGUGCUUGGCCCAGAGACCGAGACCUCACCGACUGCUUUUCUGCUCUCUCUCCUUUUCCCUCCCUUCGCUGUGCAUUUACACUGGGAAAUUCACACCCCGCACUUUAUCUGCAGGACAGGAAGAGGCGCCGCGCCGCACCUGAGCGCGAGCCCGAGUUGUUCGAAGCAGCAACUUCGAAAGCAAGGCUGCUCCAGGCCUCCGGAGCUGGCACGAAAGGGAACACAGGCAUUUCAGAAAGGCUCUUCCACGAGGGGAGGUGAGCUCACUUCCUGAGGAAAUGACUGUGGGGGGUGGGGGUGUCUGUGGGGGCCGGCCGGGCCUGCCUUGCAAGCGGCUGAAACGGGCCCGCGGUGUAAUCAGGCAUGAAUAUUGAUGCAAAGAAAUUAUGCAUCUUUGUACACUCGUUUCUGAUUUCAUUCCCAUGCUGCAUCCGCAUAGUUAGGCUGAGCAGCCCAUGGGGCCCGCCAGAGUGUAGCUGCCCUGAGAAAAGCCACUUGCUUGGCAAUAUUUGGUGGCAGAAGAGCAGUCCAAGUCAUUAGCGAAAAUUAGAACCAAAAUGACAGCGAAACCCUCUCAGCUGGAAGGGCCUGGGACCCAAGUGGCUGGAGUCAGGCGCUGUCCCCGUCCCUGGUCUUUCAUGAGACCAGAGGAGCCAAUAUGGCCGGCUCCGGAGUGCCCGAGCAAUUAUCAUUCUAACAAAUAGGGCUUUUUCUAAUAUUCGCAUUCCUUUCCCAUGGCCUCAUGAAAACACAAACAUUCACUCCAUCCUCAAAAAAUGCAGGCGCUCCAGGAGGACAGAGCCACCCGCCCGGCCCCCUAGCCCGGCUGGCCCAGCUGGAGGUUGCGCUCUGCCGUGGGUUUGUGCAUUGAUUGUUCCUCACUCAGAAGAUGGCCCGUCUGGCCCUGCGGCCGGCCACGAGGUGUCCCUGGGGGCUGCGUCAUCCAGCCGGAACCUGCCCUGCUCUGGAGCCUGCUCCUUAACACCUGCACUUGGGAGAGGAACAAGACACAGACCUGAAGUUUCCCGUUGGAUGAAUAUUUUUGUUUAUUUGAAAGGCAGAGAGACAGAGACCGUGAGACAGACAGACAGAACUCACGUCUACUCAUUCACUCCCCAAAUGCCCACAAGGACCAAAACCAGGCCAGGCCAAGGUAAGGAGCCCAGACAUCGAUCAGGGUCUCCCACGAGGUCUCCAAGGACCCAAUCCUUUGAGCCAUUGCUUGCUGCCUCCCAGGGUGUGCAGUAGCAGGAAGCUGGGAUAGUGAAUGUCCACAGGACUCAAACCCACGCGCUCUGAUACGGCAUGCUGCUGUCCCACACGGCGCUGGUGCCUUAGCCCCGGAAGUCUAAGCUGGUUCUAGGCUUCUUCCAUCUUCGUCUGAUUGCUCGGGUCUAUUCCCGCAGAGUUACCCACAUCAAAGGGAAACAGAAUAAAGAAUCCAGAUUCCCUCGAAACA